ACGAACGCUGGCGGCGUGCUUAACACCUGCAAGUCGCACGGAAAGGCCUCUUUCGGGGGGUACUCGAGUGGCGAACGGGUGAGUAACACGUGAGUAACCUGCCCUUGACUUUGGGAUAACUUCAGGAAACUGGGGCUAAUACCGGAUAGGAGCUCCUGCUGCAUGGUGGGGGUUGGAAAGUUUCGGCGGUUGGGGAUGGACUCGCGGCUUAUCAGCUUGUUGGUGGGGUAGUGGCUUACCAAGGCUUUGACGGGUAGCCGGCCUGAGAGGGUGACCGGCCACAUUGGGACUGAGAUACGGCCCAGACUCCUACGGGAGGCAGCAGUGGGGAAUAUUGCACAAUGGGUGGAAGCCUGAUGCAGCAACGCCGUGUGCGGGAUGACGGCCUUCGGGUUGUAGACCGCUUUCGCUCAUGACGAAGCUUUGUGUGACGGUAGUGGGUAAAGAAGCACCGGCUAACUACGUG
RNAcentral lists this ribosomal RNA (466 nucleotides) under uncultured bacterium. RNAcentral's name for it is "partial 16S ribosomal RNA". It matches the Rfam family "Bacterial small subunit ribosomal RNA", at positions 29 to 507 of the family's 1533-position model. The record is from RNAcentral.